ACUGAGGAAGGAGGAUGGGAAAUUUGAGAUCAGUCUGGGCAAUUUAGUAAAUCCUUGUUUCAAAAUAAAAGAAAAAGGACUGAUUAUGUAGCUCAGUGGUAGAGUGUUUGCCUACAUGUCAAUCCCUAGUACUGGGAAAAAAAAAAAAAAAAAAAGAUGCUCUACCACUGAGCCAUAUCCCCAGCCCCUAAAAUGGGCUUCUUGUGAGGAAUAGUCUGGGAAAAUGGCAGAAAAGAGAAUAUAAUACUUUCCUACUACAGUUUAUUAAAAUCUGCAUGCAUUCAAACUUGGAGCUAGUUUUCAGCUAAUUUUUAAAAGUACUGUUUAACACAGUCAUUGGA
RNAcentral lists this long non-coding RNA (341 nucleotides) under Marmota monax (woodchuck). The record is from RNAcentral. Lineage: Eukaryota; Metazoa; Chordata; Mammalia; Rodentia; Sciuridae.